AAACCCUUUAACGAGGACCUAUGAGAGGGCAAGUCUGGUGCCAGCAGCCGCGGUAAUUCCAGCUCUCAAGGUGUAUAUCGCCAUUGCUGCGGUUAAAAAGCUCGUAGUUGGAUCUGCGCCUUCGGACUCGGUCCUCCCAACGGGUGCGAACUGAGCUCCAAGGCUACUACUGCUGGUUUUCCCUUGAUGCUCUUCACUGGGUGUCUUGGGUGGCUAGCGAGUUUACUUUGAAAAAAUUAGAGUGCUCAAAACAGGCUAUUGCCUGAAUACCGGUGCAUGGAAUAAUAGAAUAGGAUCUCGGUCCUAUUUUGUUGGUUUUCGGAACUGAGAUAAUGGUUAAGAGGGACAGACGGGGGCAUUCGUAUCGCUGCGUGAGAGGUGAAAUUCUUGGACCGCAGCGAGACGCCCAACUGCGAAAGCAUUUGCCAAGAAUGUCUUCGUUAAUCAAGAACGAAAGUCAGAGGUUCGAAGGCGAUCAGAUACCGCCCUAGUUCUGACCGUAAACGAUGCCAACUAGCGAUCCGCCGGUGGUAAUUACGCCCCGGCGGGGAGCUUCCCGGAAACGAAAGUCUUCCGGUUCCGGGGGAAGUAUGGUUGCAAAGCUGAAACUUAAAGGAAUUGACGGAAGGGCACCACCAGGAGUGGAGCUUGCGGCUUAAUUUGACCCAACACGGGAAAACUCACCCGGCCCGGACACCGUAAGGAUUGACAGAUUGAGAGCUCUUUCUUGAUUCGGUGGUUGGUGGUGCAUGGCCGUUCUUAGUUGGUGGAGCGAUUUGUCUGGUUUAUUCCGAUAACGAACGAGACUCUGGCCUACUAACUAGUGACAGAAUUAUUGCUGUUCUGGUUACUUCUUAGAGGGACAAGUGGUGUUCAGCCACACGAAAUUGAGCAAUAACAGGUCUGUGAUGCCCUUUGAUGUCCGGGGCUGCACGCGUGCUACACUGGAGGAAACAGCAUGCAAAACCAUUGCCGAGAGGCAUUGGUAAACCCGAGAAAAUCUUCCGUGAUCGGGAUCGGGAAUUGCAAUUAUUUCCCUUGAACGAGGAAUUCCCAGUAAGUGUGGGUCAUCAGCUCGCGCUGAUUACGUCCCUGCCCUUUGUACACACCGCCCGUCGCUGCCCGGGACUGAGCCGUUUCGAGAAAAGCGGGGACUGCUGCUGUUGGGGCUUUCGGGCCUUGGCUUCGGUGGAAACCGCUU
Molecule: ribosomal RNA, 1201 nt
Filed under: metagenome
Description: SSU rRNA
Rfam family: Eukaryotic small subunit ribosomal RNA
Source: RNAcentral